AGAAAACAAGGUCUAAGUAACUUUCUUGCGCUGGAGCCCGUCGUCUUCUGCAGGAUGUAAACGCUUGCUUCUGCGGAACUGAGAUGACUUAACACCGUUCUAGGGCCGAUUCCCGGCCGCCUGCUUUGGGGAACGGAGCCUGGGAGCAGACUUAACAGAGCUCCAGGGAGCAGUCUGUGUCUGCAGAGACCGACGGGCAGACUGGAAUUUCACCACUGUGGAGGCAUCUGAAGUUUGCAGGUACAGAGGCUCAUGACUUUGUCUUGGGCUAGUGUUAGCUUCUGGAAUGGCCACGCCUUACCCAACUCCGUGUCUGAACUAACAACUCAUGAUGAUAAUAAUUACAAACCUCUUAGGAGCUAUUAACAGGGCAGGAUACUAGCUUCCACAAAUCCAAGAGCUCCGAAUGUCAUCAGACAGCACCUGCCUAUAGCACAGCUCCCCAUCUCUUUGUACCCCUCCCUCUGGUGUAUCCACCAAUGUAUUUUAAAGUUGUCUUGAUUUAUGACUUUCUGUGUUCUUUAAAACCAUAAAACCUUCAUGAAACUGUUUCUGUGUUGGACACAUGGAACUCAGGAUAACCUAACUCUGUAUUCCCCCGGGACAUGGUCACUCAGUGGCCAUACAAUAGACUGUCUUGUUAUAGAGAUUAUCUUAACUAUGUAGAGAUGUGUUACAUUUGUUUAUGCUGCGAUUGUUUAAGGAUAUAAGAAUGUGUGUUUAACUAUGUAAAGAUGUGUUGGAUUUGUUUCACCUUGCUUGCCUAAGGCACUUGAUUGAUUGGUUUAAUAAAGAGCUGAACAGCCAA
This is a long non-coding RNA of Mesocricetus auratus (golden hamster), 808 nucleotides long. RefSeq lists it as uncharacterized. NCBI's taxonomy places the organism in Eukaryota, Metazoa, Chordata, Mammalia, Rodentia, Cricetidae. The record is from RefSeq and is a predicted model, not a curated record. The transcript is spliced from 2 exons.